UAGGGAAUCUUCCGCAAUGGACGCAAGUCUGACGGAGCAACGCCGCGUGAGUGAAGAAGGAUUUCGGUUCGUAAAACUCUGUUGUUAGAGAAGAACAGCGCAUAGAGUAACUGUUAUGCGUGUGACGGUAUCUAACCAGAAAGCCACGGCUAACUACGUGCCAGCAGCCGCGGUAAUACGUAGGUGGCAAGCGUUGUCCGGAUUUAUUGGGCGUAAAGCGAGCGCAGGCGGUCAAUUAAGUCUGAUGUGAAAGCCCCCGGCUCAACCGGGGAGGGUCAAUGGAAACUGGUUGACUUGAGUGCAGAAGAGGAGAGUGGAAUUCCAUGUGUAGCGGUGAAAUGCGUAGAUAUAUGGAGGAACACCGGUGGCGAAAGCGGCUCUCUGGUCUGUAACUGACGCUGAGGCUCGAAAGCGUGGGGAGCGAACAGG
Molecule: ribosomal RNA, 429 nt
Filed under: Bacteroidota bacterium
Lineage: Bacteria; Pseudomonadati; Bacteroidota
Description: Bacteroidetes bacterium partial 16S ribosomal RNA
Rfam family: Bacterial small subunit ribosomal RNA
Source: RNAcentral